RNAcentral lists this long non-coding RNA (480 nucleotides) under Citrus x clementina. RNAcentral's name for it is "Citrus clementina (C. clementina) long non-coding RNA (CCLE_LNC006244)". The record is from RNAcentral. Lineage: Eukaryota; Viridiplantae; Streptophyta; Magnoliopsida; Sapindales; Rutaceae.
CUUCAUCCGCCGGACUCGGAAUGCCGCGAGACUUUACGAGGGGCCUCCGUGUGCCAAAAAUAGGCCGCGGGCAAAGCCGCGCCCAAAAAUAACCGGCCGGAGGCCGGGGCGCCAAGUUCGUCCAGCGGAAAAAGGCCACAAAAACGGGUGGGCUAUAGCCUUGGGGGGUGGGGCUGGCCCACUUCAUCCGCCGGACUCGGAAUGCCGCGAGACUUUGCGAGGGGCCUCCGUGUGCCAAAAAUAGGCCGCGGGCAAAGCCGCGUCCAAAAAUAACUGCCCGAAGGCCGGGCGCCAAGUUCGUCCAGCGGAAAAAGGCAACAAAAACGGGUGGGCUAUAGCCUUGGGGGGUGGGGCUGGCCAACUUCGUCCGCCGGACUCGGAAUGCCGCGAGACUUUGCGAGGGGCCUCCGUGUACCAAAAAUAGGCCGCGGGCAAACCCACGCCCAAAAAUAACCGCCCGAAGGACGGGGCGCCCAGUUC